AAAUGAUCCACAGCAGACAUGCAACCAUUGGUGGUGAUGAAAGAAGAAACUGUCCCUGAACGCCAGGAAUGGAAUCUGAGUGUUGACCAGGAGGACAUUAAAGAAGAGAAGCUGUGGAUAGGUCAGCAGGGAGAGCAGCUUCAGCAGCUGGAGGAGGCAGA
Thalassophryne amazonica is the source of this 161-nucleotide long non-coding RNA. RefSeq lists it as uncharacterized. The transcript is spliced from 3 exons. The record is from RefSeq and is a predicted model, not a curated record. Lineage: Eukaryota; Metazoa; Chordata; Actinopteri; Batrachoidiformes; Batrachoididae.